CCCCCCUUCGAAGAAGAGGGGGUAUAUUGCUUUGCUCAUGUCGGUCUGUCGGUCUGUCGGUCCGUCCACCAGGUGGUUGUCAGACGAUAACUCAAGAACGCUUGGGCCUAGGAUCAUGAAACUUCAUAGGUACAUUGAUCAUGACUCGCAGAUGACCCCUAUAGAUUUUGAGGUCACUAGGUCAAAGGUCAAGGUCACGGUGACCAGAAAUAGUAAAAUGGUUUUUGAAUAAUAACUCAAGAACGCAUACGCCUAGGAUCAUGAAACUUCAUGGGUAGAUUGAUCAUGACUUGCAGAUGACCCCUAUUGAUUUUGAGGUCACUAGGUCAAAGGUCAAGGUCACGGUGACCCGAAAUAGUAAAAUGGUUUCCGGAUGAUAACUCAAGAACGCAUACGCCUAGGAUCAUGAAACUUCAUAGGUAGAUUGAUCAUGACUUGCAGAUGACCCCUAUUGAUUUUGAGGUCACAAGGUCAAAGGUCAAGGUCAUGGUGACCCGAAAUAGUAAAAUGAUUUUCGGAUGAUAACUCAAGAACGGUUUUGCCUAGGAUCAUGACACUUCAUAGGUACAUUGAUUGUGACUAGCAGAUGACCCCUAUUGAUUUUCAGGUCGCUAGGUCAAAGGUCAAGGUCACAGUGACAAAAAUGGUAUUCACACAAUGGCUGCCACUACAACGGACAGCCCAUAUGGGGGGCAUGCAUGUUUUACAAACAGCCCUUGUUUGUA
Dreissena polymorpha is the source of this 725-nucleotide long non-coding RNA. RefSeq lists it as uncharacterized. NCBI's taxonomy places the organism in Eukaryota, Metazoa, Mollusca, Bivalvia, Myida, Dreissenidae. The transcript is spliced from 3 exons. The record is from RefSeq and is a predicted model, not a curated record.